CAGUCGCCGCGGUAAUACGUAGGGUGCAAGCGUUAAUCGGAAUUACUGGGCGUAAAGCGUGCGCAGGCGGUUAUGUAAGACAGAUGUGAAAUCCCCGGGCUCAACCUGGGAACUGCAUUUGUGACUGUAUAGCUAGAGUACGGCAGAGGGGGAUGGAAUUCCGCGUGUAGCAGUGAAAUGCGUAGAUAUGCGGAGGAACACCGAUGGCGAAGGCAAUCCCCUGGGCCUGUACUGACGCUCAUGCACGAAAGCGUGGGGAGCAAACAGGAUUAGAUACCCGUGUAGUCCCUGUCUCUUAUAC
This 301-nucleotide ribosomal RNA is filed under the name uncultured bacterium. RNAcentral describes it as "partial 16S ribosomal RNA". It matches the Rfam family "Bacterial small subunit ribosomal RNA", at positions 509 to 807 of the family's 1533-position model. The record is from RNAcentral.